Molecule: ribosomal RNA, 584 nt
Filed under: uncultured low G+C Gram-positive bacterium
Lineage: Bacteria; Bacillati; Bacillota
Description: bacterial SSU rRNA
Rfam family: Bacterial small subunit ribosomal RNA
Source: RNAcentral
GCCCUUAGAGUUUGAUCCUGGCUCAGGACGAACGCUGGCGGCGUGCUUAACACAUGCAAGUCGAACGAAGCAGAAGUCGGUCAUCAGAGGUCAGAAGUUGGAGAGGAGGGUUUUUCAGCCCGAUUUUCCGUAUUUUUGAGUGCAUGGGGGUGGAUUAAGGAGGAUGAUCUACUUCAAUGUGCGGAUUAUUUCUGACAUCUGACUUCCGAUGACCGACUUCUGACUUAGUGGCGGACGGGUGAGUAACACGUGGGUAACCUACCUGAAAGACCGGGAUAACAGCUCGAAAGGGCUGCUAAUACCGGAUAAAGUAAGAGAUUGCUAUGAUUUCUUACCAAAGGCGUUAUGUAGUGCUUUCAGAUGGGCCCGCGGCUCAUUAGUUAGUUGGUGGGGUAAAGGCCUACCAAGGCGAUGAUGGGUAGCCGGUCUGAGAGGAUGGUCGGCCACACUGGGACUGAGAACGGCCCAGACUCCUACGAGAGGCAGCAGUGGGGAAUAUUGCGCAAUGGGGGCAACCCUGACGCAGCGACGCCGCGUGAGUGAAGAAGGCCUUCGGGUUGUAAAGCUCUGUCUGGGGGGAAGAA